AUACUGCCAUCCAUGAAGGCCAUUUUUCUUGUAAUCUAGAUUUUGAUCCAACUGAAAGUUCAGGAGUUCUUUGGGGGACUGCUCAUAGAUGCAAAAAAGAGACAUAGAGAGAGAGAUGCAAAAAAGAGACAUAGAGAGAGAGAGAGGCUACUACAAUUCACUUGGGGGAUGCUUUGUUGUGCAGGAUUUGGGGGGUGCCUAGUCUAGCAAGGGUUUUCAACUAUAAUAUGUGUGAUAGUGGCAAUUUUCAAAAACUUUAAUAGUUCAAGUACAUAAGAAAACAUAAGUCCACUCUGUAAAAACAACAGUAGACGCAGAAAGUUCAGUUUUGCUAUAUACGAUUGGUAAUGCCGAUGUGUUCCUUUGUGGUUUAGAUUUCGGCAGUAAACUAUGCAAACAAUCUAAAAGUACUCAAGUCCAACUUGCAAACCAGUAGCAGUCCUAUAGUGCAACAUGCAUCAAAUUCACAAAAAUAGCAAACCUGACUUGAAGCAAAUUCGCAUCUGGUUGUUUAUUUCGUAGCUCAUCGUUUCUAAUAUGAGCCAAUGCUUCUAUUCUGUAGUUUUUAUUUUGUAGCUCACUUUUUCUAAUAUAAUGUUAAAAGUCAACUAGAUGAAAAAUUCUCUGUGUUAGCGAUCAGUACUAGUGCUCAUCAGUACGGCAAGCAGCAGUACUGAUCAGUAUGACUUACACAAAUACUAGUACUGAUUAGUACUUUCUUAAUGUUAAAGAUGAGCAGUAAAAGAUACAAGUUGCAGUUCCAGGGCAACCUGUCUCAGAUCCUUUUCAGGUUCAGGUAAUAAAUGUUUGGUAUUCUUAUAUACUUGCAUCAAUUCAGACUCGCGGAUAAAAUAAGUUGAGGGAAAGCCCAUACAAAAGUUCAAAGUUGAGAAACAGGGGUUCUUUGUUUCAAUGUUCGCUAGUGUAUGCAGAUUGGUUUGCAUGCAAUUCAUAGUUGGAUGGCUACUGAUCUCUAUAAAACCUUGGAAUCAGUGCUUGCAUUACUAGUCCAACCAUACUAGGUAAAACUGAAUGUACCUAGCCAGUUCAAUAACAUCAUCUCCUUGUGCAAAAAAGUAGUUAAAAAGGUCAAACUGACAUCUGCUUCAGAAUGUCGCACAAAAUAAUAUUUAUCUGUAUUUGUCUUUUUCAUGUUGAGUUAUUUGAAGUAAAACAAAAAUAGCUCACUUUUGUGACUUUCAUCAUUUGAAAAUCUACAUGCCUGCAGUUCGAGGACGGACACCCCAGGUUCUCAAGCAGCAAAGUUAUCACACAAAGUUGAACUUGCUGCUGCACCAUCUUCACCAAGUCAAACUUGCAGCAGCCAGGGGAUCCACAAUCGUUGGGAGCUGUCCAAGUCAAGCUAUGACCGCAGUCCAAGUGUUACUGCGACCACCAUCUUCACCCAGCGCUGCACCCAUUGAGCACCCACACAGUGAGAACGCCAUCUCAUUUUUCUUUGAACAUUUUCUUUCUGAUUCAUGCUCGCUGAUGGAUCAGCUACUAUUCAUUUAGUUUGUACUCUCUGAACUGUGGCUGGGGUUCUUCGCACGCUAGCGCCGCUGCCGGCCCCGUACAGCUAAGUCCUUGGCCCACUGCACGCCCUGCUGCCCUCGACCUCCCUCUCACAGGCAUGCUACCCCAACUUUCAUUUUGAUUCUCAGUUCAAGUUGUGUGUUCUUUUCGUUGCAUUAUGCUUUAAAUGUGCAAAAUCUUGAGGAAAUCCUGAAAUAUUAUGUGUGCAAUAAAGGUAAUUAAGUGCCUUUAGAAAUUCUGACAGUCCAUCCCAGACUAAGCAAACAAUACAUGUUAGUGUUGGUUUUUUAAGAGAAUUUAGUAUUAGUUGAUCAACAUUUUGAUGCUUUUUCACUAUGUCUGCACUUCGUUAUAGUUAAGCAUUGAUCCAUUUCUCAGCUGCAAGUAAAUAAUGAUCUUGCACUUCAUUAUAAUGCCCUCCCCCUCUGUUUCUCUUCCUCUCUAAAUCCCCUUUCUGUCACUAAUUUAUUUUCUCCCUGAAUGCAGCACAAGGGAGGCUGGAGCGACUGCAGAUCGGUGACAAGAGCCACUUCAGUUCUGUUGUUCGUGUAUUGGAAGUACGUAUCCUCUAUCCGGGCAGGAGAUAGAGGUAAUUUCUCCCCUAAUGCAACCUAUUUUGUAAGUAGCCUGAGACCCAUCAUGUCCUAUAUACAGAUUCAGAGUUUAACACAUCAAUGGAAGUUUGUUCUGAAAACUGAAAUUGUUCUGGAUGUACUGAUAGAUUAGUUGUUAAUUAUUGUAGUGUUUCGUUCUUGCAGAACAAAAAUAAGAUGUAUAGGUUACUUCUUGGCCCAGAUGAGAGAACCCUCAUGUUGAAAAGUAUAAAGAAGUUCUGAAGCAAUUCCUAGUGUCUUUAGAAGCAUUCAUGUUUAAAAGCAACGGCAAUCUCCUCCGUUCAAGUUGAGCACUGGUCAUCGUCCAAGUUGAGCGCUAGAUGCCGUCCAAGUUCAAAGAUGAUUGUAUGCAAGUACAGAAGUUUGUUUUAGUGAGAAAAAAUGCGGGUUUUUGGACAAUAUUAUGUAUGUUUGAUUUGCUCAACCUUAGAACUUGGAGAUAUCCACUCUAUUUUUCUAUGAUGAAGGCACACAUGAGAUCAUGUGCAAUGGUUAUUCCCCUAUUUUGUUUCUUCAAAUGUGUAUUUUGUUUCUUAUAAUGUGUUGUUCCCUUGUUCGAUGAGGUAAAACAAAGAAAAAUAGUGAAAAUAUCAUUCAAGACUUGUCCGGUAGAAAGUGUGGAGAAGAAAACAGAAGUUCUUAAAACAAGGGAAUGGUAAAAAUAUAAGUCCGCUCAACUAUAUAAACCAUGCAGGUACAAUGGCGAUGACGCCGUCUGUAAGGAUGAGAAGGAAAAUUUAAAACUAAAACAAAAAGAGCUUCGAGUGAUUAUUUUUGGAGAAGUACAAACUCUCUAGUACCAUAAGUUUGAAUAUUAUUGUGCAAAAGGUACAAAAAAAUGAAUGCCCAGAAGAAAAGAACACUUACUGAUAGAAAACAAAUACCUUGUGAAAGUUUAGAGCAUAAAAAGGUCAAGUUGCAGAAAGAAUGAAGUGCAGAGUUGAGCACUGGUCCGUUCAGCAAAAAAAAUACGAUUGGCGUCCUCAUGUUGAACACUGGUCAUCAUCCAAGUUGAGCACUAGGUGCCGUCCAGGUUCAAAGAGGGUUGUAUGCAAGUACAUAAGUUUGUUUUAGGGAGAAAAAUGCGGGGUUUUGACAAUAUUCUGUAUGAUUCAUUUAUUCAACCUUAGAACUUGUCGAUAUUCAGUCUAUUUUUCGAUGAUGAAGGCACACAUGAAGUCCUGUACAAUGGUUACCCCCCCUAGUGCUUCAAACAUUCGUAUUUUGUCCUCAGAAUCAGUACAACGAAAUGACAGUAUCAGUACAAACGCUCAAAUUCAUCAGUUCAACAGUACUAACACGAUGGCGUGAUGAACUGCUAAAAAGAAUAAUAUCCCCCUCAUAAAAAUACAAUCAGCCCCCUAGGAACAGAGGGUCCAUGACAUGCUGUCCAUGCCGAGGGUGAACUUCACAAAAAAAUUCAACAAAAACAUCGCUAGCUAGCGACAGGCACACAAGAAAGAGGUCAGAGACAAGGAAUUGUACCUUUUCUGAAGGAAGCUUGCUCAAACUCAGCCUUCUCGUUGUUAAAUCUUUCACUCUAUUAUAGGCAAUUCUCAGCUUCUUUUUUUUAACCGAAAAAUUCAUUCUAUUACUAAACCCGCGCAGCGAUCUCGCUGGCGACCAGCACCGAAACACAGUCUGGAGCCUGCUCGAUCCACGAAAGAUCAGCAGCUCUUGCCCUGAAGCCAAACGCGGCUAGUUCAUGGGCCGCCUUAUUACAG
Molecule: long non-coding RNA, 3874 nt
Filed under: Triticum aestivum (bread wheat)
Lineage: Eukaryota; Viridiplantae; Streptophyta; Magnoliopsida; Poales; Poaceae
Description: long non-coding RNA (TAES_LNC004084)
Source: RNAcentral